GUCCCAGACUCCUACGGGAGGCAGCAGUGGGGAAUAUUGGACAAUGGGGGGAACCCUGAUCCAGCGACGCCGCGUGGGUGAAGGAGCACCUCGGUGCGUAAAACCCUAUCGGCAGGGAAGAAACAGACGGUACCUGACUAAGAAGCCCCGGCUAACUACGCGCCAGCAGCCGCGGGAAUACGUAGGGGGCAAGCGUUAUCCGGAUUCACUGGGUGCAAAGGGAGCGUAGAUGGGGCCGCAAGUCUGGAGUGAAAGCCCGGGGCCCAACCCCGGGACUGCUCUGGAAACUGCGUCGCUGGAGUACGGGAGGGGCAGGCGGAAUUCCUGGUGUAGCGGUGAAAUGCGUAGAUAUCAGGAGGAACACCGGUGGCGAAGGCGGCCUGCUGGACUGCAACUGACGUUGAGGCCCGAAAGCGUGGGGAGCAAACAGGAUUAGAUACCCUAGUAC
This 448-nucleotide ribosomal RNA is filed under the name uncultured bacterium. RNAcentral describes it as "bacterial SSU rRNA". It matches the Rfam family "Bacterial small subunit ribosomal RNA", at positions 328 to 793 of the family's 1533-position model. The record is from RNAcentral.